GGAAUCUUUAUAUAUAAAAGGAUAGUUGGCAUGUGUCUGCGAAGAGAGGGGUUGUGAGGGAGGAAAAGGCACCUUUAGAAGAAGUAGACUGCUGUUGUAUUACAAUAUAAUAAAAAAUAGAUUGCUUUGCCACAGAUCUUCACUAAAAAAAAGGGCCUAUUGCUGUAUUUGGACAAGAGUGCAUUUUAUAAUCAACAUACUCAAGUAUUAAAAAGCCAAAAACCGCAAUGAAAAUGGAUCCUAUUCCCUCUUGUUUUUAGUGGCGAUCAUAAAUGUCAGUGGUUCCUGUGUUUAUUUUGCAGCCCCCCUUUGUAAAAGACAAAGGUCAGCAGUGAAUAAUAACGAACACGAAUAGUAACUGAGGAGACUUCUGUCUGCUGUGCACUAACGUGGUUCUCUCUUAUCUAGUCAUUUGAAUUCUCCAAAAUGUUACAUCUGCAUUGGUGAAGCAUUAUUAUUUGCAUUUCUAAGAUAGCUUAAUAAGCAUCCUGCAUUUUAAAAUGCAUGGGUUUGUGGGUGAGUAGU
Molecule: long non-coding RNA, 525 nt
Organism: Hemicordylus capensis (graceful crag lizard)
Lineage: Eukaryota; Metazoa; Chordata; Lepidosauria; Squamata; Cordylidae
Exons: 3
Source: RefSeq, a predicted model, not a curated record